RNAcentral lists this ribosomal RNA (188 nucleotides) under uncultured Staphylococcus sp. RNAcentral describes it as "partial 16S ribosomal RNA". It matches the Rfam family "Bacterial small subunit ribosomal RNA", at positions 152 to 334 of the family's 1533-position model. Lineage: Bacteria; Bacillati; Bacillota; Bacilli; Caryophanales; Staphylococcaceae. The record is from RNAcentral.
GGAAACCGGAGCUAAUACCGGAUAAUAUAUUGAACCGCAUGGUUCAAUAGUGAAAGACGGUUUUGCUGUCACUUAUAGAUGGAUCCGCGCCGCAUUAGCUAGUUGGUAAGGUAACGGCUUACCAAGGCAACGAUGCGUAGCCGACCUGAGAGGGUGAUCGGCCACACUGGAACUGAGACACGGUCCAG